GGUUAGCGGAUCUUAGCCUUGUCUGUGAAUCAAUGCAACUUCAUCUAUUGGAAGAAAAUGAUCGCAAUCGUUUACUGGGCCCAUACAAGAAAGUUCAACAGUGGAUUGAAGAUA
Non-coding RNA from Jatropha curcas, 114 nucleotides. NCBI's taxonomy places the organism in Eukaryota, Viridiplantae, Streptophyta, Magnoliopsida, Malpighiales, Euphorbiaceae. The record is from RefSeq and is a predicted model, not a curated record.